Molecule: ribosomal RNA, 161 nt
Filed under: Potamogeton natans
Lineage: Eukaryota; Viridiplantae; Streptophyta; Magnoliopsida; Alismatales; Potamogetonaceae
Description: 5.8S ribosomal RNA
Rfam family: 5.8S ribosomal RNA
About the family: 5.8S ribosomal RNA (5.8S rRNA) is a component of the large subunit of the eukaryotic ribosome. It is transcribed by RNA polymerase I as part of the 45S precursor that also contains 18S and 28S rRNA.
Source: RNAcentral
UGACUCUCGGCAACGGAUAUCUUGGUCCUCGCAUCGAUGAAGAACGUAGCGAAAUGCGAUACUUGGUGUGAAUUGCAGAAUCCCGUGAACCAUCGAGUUUUUGAACGCAAGUUGCGCCCUAAGCUUCCGGGCCGAGGGCAAGCCUGCGUGGGCGUCAAGUU